AAUAGACUAAUGAAAUUAGAUGAUUAAAAGCAUCUAAGGAAAUCAAAACUGAGAAAUCGUGAUCACAUUCAUUAUAGGGACAGAAGAAUUGUCAAUCUAGGAUUAUGACAAAUGUAAUGAUCUCUAAGAGGAUAAUUUUGUAUUGUCCAACUAAAGCUAUGUAUCAAAAGUACAUAUUAUUUAAUCAACUUCUUAUUUAGUGAAAUUGAUGACAUAUCUUAAACAUGAA
This 229-nucleotide unclassified non-coding RNA is filed under the name Hevea brasiliensis (rubber tree). The record is from RNAcentral. Lineage: Eukaryota; Viridiplantae; Streptophyta; Magnoliopsida; Malpighiales; Euphorbiaceae.